UACGAAGGGGGCUAGCGUUGUUCGGAAUUACUGGGCGUAAAGCGCACGUAGGCGGUUCGAUCAGUCAGGGGUGAAAUCCCAGGGCUCAACCCUGGAACUGCCUUUGAUACUGUCGAUCUGGAGUAUGGAAGAGGUGAGUGGAAUUCCGAGUGUAGAGGUGAAAUUCGUAGAUAUUCGGAGGAACACCAGUGGCGAAGGCGGCUCACUGGUCCAUUACUGACGCUCAUGUGCGAAAGCGUGGGGAGCAAACAGG
Molecule: ribosomal RNA, 253 nt
Filed under: uncultured bacterium
Lineage: Bacteria
Description: partial 16S ribosomal RNA
Rfam family: Bacterial small subunit ribosomal RNA
Source: RNAcentral